GUAUUUUUUUCUUUUACAUUUAAUUAAAAAAAAAUUUUUUUCCCCCCAAACUCGAGGGUUCCUCCCCGGAGCGGGCGCGGGUCCAGGGCGGCCGGGCCGCGGGGUGGCGGCGGGGCCUGGCGGAGGCUGUCUGGCGGCCGCAACGCUACCAGGCAGUGCGCUGACCGGCCCGGCCGGUCGGCCCCCUCUAGGUCCUCCCUCUGCAGCCCGUGCGGGGCCGUCUCGGAGACGCCGCGCCGACGGCUGCUCGAACAUCAGGAUGAGACCAAGAGUGAGCCUGUCCUUCUCUCAUUUCAUCACGUCCCAGGAGGAUUGUCCACUUAAGAGGCCUUGAGCAAGCAAUUUAGCCUCUUUGACUCUCAAUUUCUCUCUUAAAGAAGAAGAAAAAAGGCAAAUUAAGAGACAAGUGACAUAAAUGACAGAUCCGAUAAAGGGUUGACAUCCAAAAUAUAUAAAGAGCUCACACACCUCAACAAACAAAAGCAAAUAACCCAAUUAAAAAAUGGGCAGAGGAGUUGAAUAGACAGUUCUCUAAAGAAGAAAUUCAGAUGGCCAACAGACACAUGAAAAGAUGCUCCACAUCGCUAGUCAUCAGAGAAAUGCAACUUAAAACCACAAUGAGAUAUCACCUCACGCCAGUAAGGAUGGCUACCAUCCAAAAGACAAACAACAACAAAUGUUGGCGAGGUUGUGGAGAAAGGGGAACCCUCCUACACUGCUGGUGGGAAUGUAAAUCAGUUCAACCAUUGUGGAAAGCAGUAUGGAGGUUCCUCAAAAUGCUCAAAAUAGAAAUACCAUUUGACGCAGGAAUUCCACUUCUAGGAAUUUACCCUAAGAAUGCAGCACUCCAGUUUGAAAAAGACAGAUGCACUCCUAUGUUUAUAGCUGCACUAUUUACAAUAGCCAAGAUAUGGAAGCAACCUAAAUGUCCAUCAGUAGAUGAAUGGAUAAAGAUAUGGUACAUAUACACAAUGGAAUAUUACUCAGCUAUAAGAAAAAAAACAGAUCCUACCAUUUGCAACAACAUGGAUGGAGCUAAAGGGUAUUAUGCUCAGUGAAAUAAGCCAGGCGGAGAAAGACAAGUGGAGUAUAAGAUUUCACUCAUAUGUGGAGUAUAAGAACAAAGGAAAACUGAAGGAACAAAACAGCAGCAGAAUCACAGAACCCAAGAAUGGACUAACAGUUACCAAAGGGAAAGGGACUGGGGAGGAUGGGUGGGAAGGGAGGGAUAAGGGCGGGGAAAAAAGAAAGGGGGCAUUAUGAUUAGCAUGUAUAGUGUGUGGGCGGCACGGGGAGGGCUGCGCAACACAGAGAAGACAAGUAGUGAUUUUACAGCAUCUUACUAGGUUGAUGGACAAUGACUGUGAAGGGGUAUGUGGGGGGGACUUGGUGAAGGGGGGAGCCUAGUAAACAUAAUGUCCUUCAUGUAAUUGUAGAUUAAUGAUACCAAAAUAAAAAAGAGACAAGUGACAAUGCAAAACAACAAGGCAAGGAUCUAACACUUGGUGAAUCUGAGGCAUUGUUCUAGGAACUUUUAUUCCUUACAAAAAUAGCUUUUUUAAGUAAGAAAAACAGGACUAUUCUAAUAUUAUAUGAACAAAGGAUACAAAAUACAAUUAAUUAAAUAUUUAUUGAGCAGCUGUUUUCAGCACCAUACUAAAAGCAAUACCAAUGGUAAACAAAUAUGUGAAAAAUGGUCACCUAUAUUAACCAUAAUCAAAUGAAUUCAAGUGAAAACAAAAGUGACUUUUCCAUUUUUUACCCAUCAAAUGGCCUAUGUGCAAAAUAAAUGUUUUCUCCAAUGUGUUAGAUGAAUGUGGAGUUUUGGGAUCUCUUCUGUGAGUAUAUGCAUAUAUUCAUAAUCUUCCUGAAGGCACUUA
Molecule: long non-coding RNA, 1880 nt
Organism: Manis pentadactyla (Chinese pangolin)
Lineage: Eukaryota; Metazoa; Chordata; Mammalia; Pholidota; Manidae
Exons: 3
Source: RefSeq, a predicted model, not a curated record